This 816-nucleotide small RNA is filed under the name Pan troglodytes (chimpanzee). RNAcentral describes it as "processed transcript". Lineage: Eukaryota; Metazoa; Chordata; Mammalia; Primates; Hominidae. The record is from RNAcentral.
GAAAGUCCCUGACUGGAGUUGGCAGCCAAGCCAGGCCCUGGAGUGGGCACCCAGAGGGAAGACAGGGGAAGAACACCCACCCGCAAAGCCCCGUAGGGCUGGACCCUACGUUAGCCUGCCCUGCUCGGGGUUGGCGAUGCUGGAGGUGGGCCUUGGACCAGAGAAAAUGCUUUAAUUAGGUGACAAGCGGGCAGAGGCCUUUGUCUCUGGCGCCGGCAGCCAACGGCCCCCGCUGACGGCGUGGGAAACAGACCCUGUUCCACUCCGGUCUCCAGCCUUGGAAUGGUUGCCUUCGUGCAAUGCAGGAGGACGCGGCAGAGGGCGGACGAUCGCUCCACUCGCCGGGACCAGGUGCGGGGGCCCUGCCCAGCCGCUGGGGCGUGGCCAGGCUCGAAGCACCCAGGUGUCGGGGGCCGACUCUAAGCCCUGGCACCGGAAGAGAGAGGGCGGCGGAUUGCACCUCCCGGCUCCAGCAUUGCAACUGGGCGCUCCGUCUCCUGGUCCACGCAAUGAUGCCGCGGCUGCUCAGAAGCCAGGUAGCCUGCCCCGGGUGAAGCCUUCGCGCAGGUCAAUGACGGGGCGGAGGGGCAGGGCGCGGUCCCCUGCAUCCCUGAUCUGGGGAGCGGUGGGCCCAGGGGCCAUCGCCUUAGCCCCUGGCGCUGGGGCUCGGCGCCAAGUGACGGGCGGGGCUCCACCUUCCAGCCAUCCGCCCGGCCCGGGAGGGCGGACGCCGCGAGACUCCCGGCCGCGCCCUCUCCUUCCUCUCCUCCCCAAGCCCUCGCUGCCAGUCCGGACAGGCUGCGCGAAGGGGAGGGC